Ornithorhynchus anatinus (platypus) is the source of this 138-nucleotide small nucleolar RNA. NCBI's taxonomy places the organism in Eukaryota, Metazoa, Chordata, Mammalia, Monotremata, Ornithorhynchidae. The record is from RefSeq and is a predicted model, not a curated record.
CACCUCUCAGGGUCGCAACUGGAGAGUUUCCAGGACUCUACCAGUCUCGGCUAUGGGAAGGAGAGUCAAGCAGAGGCCGACCCAUUCCGUUCUUAGCUUGGGCAGUGGCCAAUGAGGGGAAGACCAUCUGCUACAAGU